UGCCAGCAGCCGCGGUAAUACGGAGGGUGCAAGCGUUAUCCGGAUUUAUUGGGUUUAAAGGGUCCGUAGGCGGACGAUUAAGUCAGUGGUGAAAUCCAACAGCUCAACUGUUGAACUGCCUUUGAUACUGGCAAACUUGAGUUAUUGUGAAGUAGUUAGAAUGUGUAGUGUAGCGGUGAAAUGCAUAGAUAUUACACAGAAUACCAAUUGCGAAGGCAGAUUACUAACAAUUAACUGACGCUGAGGGACGAAAGCGUGGGUAGCAAACAGGAUUAGAUA
This 279-nucleotide ribosomal RNA is filed under the name uncultured bacterium. RNAcentral describes it as "partial 16S ribosomal RNA". It matches the Rfam family "Bacterial small subunit ribosomal RNA", at positions 506 to 784 of the family's 1533-position model. The record is from RNAcentral.